UGUCAAGCAAGCUGAAGGGGGCUGAGAUUAUUCCCUCUGAAGGAAAUUUUAAAAAAGAAGAAAGAAAGAAAAAAAGCCAUAAUGCAGUUCCCAAUUUGAUUAGACCUACAUUGCCAUGAUCCCAUUCUGGCCUGCUCCUCCCACUGACAGCAUGAUUUGGACUUAAUACAGCUCUGGGAUGCCUUCAGCAUCACCUGCACGACACCGUUUUCACACCUUCCCAUGUUGGGACAGGAAAUACUAUCUGUUUGCUCACCCACACUUCUCAGCUCAUAUGUCCCUGAGGAAAAGGGGCCCAGGGGGAGCUGCACUUGAGAUGGGAUCUCCUGUAGCCCAGGCUGGAUUUAACCCUCUGUGUAGACACAGAUGACCUUCUGUGGCAAAUCUCCUUCUACCUCUAAGUAUUGUGAUCACAGGCCUGCAAUUUCUUUUCAUCUCAUCAUUUUACUGGCUCCCACAGGUGGUAUUGAGAGGCAGUAAAAGAGAAAGGAAUUAAACUCACAGGAAUGAUGCUUUCCAAAACAUUUUCAAGCACUUGGCUUUCUGCUGACGAUAUGUAGGGGGUGGGAGGAAGAUUGAUGUCCUAUGAUUAAACCCAACCCAACUCCUGCCUUUCUUGGAUAACAACUUUCUUUUCCCUAGUUUCUUUACACUCUAUUUGUCAAAACCUACUUAUUCUUCCAUGUGAAAUAUUUCUGUUUGUGUGAAAACUCUCCAAUGGCUUUCUUCCAUUCACACACUUCAGUAAUUGUUCUGGUCAGUAUUUCCUGGUACUCAAUUAUGAAAGUUAGCAUGCAUAUGCCACACAUUUUAUGCCCCUCGUUGUAUGCACAAUAUUAAUUUCCUUUUAACACUUUACUUUCAACCACUUUAAUUCUCACAAUUCUGUCUUAGUAGAUAGAUAUUUUUACCAUCCCAAUCUUAGCAAGGAAAAUAAGCGCCAAUAUCAGAGAAGGUAAGUUUUAAAUGGUGAGUUCACAGAUGCCAAACAGACCCAGCAAUUUUGUUCACAUGAACUGAGUGGCACACAUAAAGGCCUGAAGGCAUGAUAGCACUGGAUAUGGUUAUUUAUAAACGUAGUAAGUCACAGGGCUGGGCCUCUGGCUACAUGCCAGCUAUUAUACUUCGUUUGUACUUCAGGCAGUGAUAGACAGAUGGAAGGGAGAAGAUGCUGCUGUCAGCAGUCUAUUUUCAUUGGUGUACAAAGCCUGCAGAGGAAAAAUAAGCUGGGUCCGUUCAUGAAAGUCCCACGUGUGCUGGCAGGCAACUGGGACUUCAUCUAUUGUGUGCUGGGUACAUAAAAGAGCUUGAAUAGGGGGAUGAGAAGGUGACUAUAUCUGCCCAUGCAAUGUCAUGGAGUGAUUCCUUCCUUCUUAAAAAUAUAAAGUGCUUUGAACUUAUUAUGUGUUUUCUCAAGAUUUAAUUAAAACUGGAUUUGCAUUAAACACCUGUAAAUUCCUAAAUGAGCAACAAGAUCCACUGUUGAGUCUUUAGAGACUCUGUGAUGUCUAAGACACUUUAUGCUUGAAAGUAUUCAGUGAUGCAUGUAGAACUGACUUUCUCUUACUAAUUUGACUCUAACUUCUCCCUACAAACGUCUGUCUUUUCUUGCUUUAGCAGAUUAAAGUGUAGCGGAAAUGUACCAACACAGUGACAUUUUCUAUUUGCAGUAGGUCAUGCAAGAUCACCUGCCCUCUAGACUACAUCUUGAGAACACAAUUUAAUCAGUGCAUUUUCAAAAGCCCAGGGCAUGUCCUAUCAUACAGGAAUUGUAAAGUCCACUGAAAAACACUGUAACUAUAGAACAUGUUUGGUUUUUUAAAGUUCUAUGAGGAAAAUAAUUAUAUUUGAGCAAGAAGAUGUGUAUGUGUUUAUGUCUUGAAGUCAUCAUCAGUAAAGCAUGAAAAGUACUUUAUUAUACUCAGCUAAUUUUUAAACAUAUAUCCUUUUCAUUUUUUAUCCUUCUACCAAACAAACAAACAAAAAAGAAAUAUAAAUAACUCAUGUAAGGUGGUUAGUCUUGUAGGUCGAUCAAUGCUGAUUUAGGGCUACAUUCUUACAGCAGUCAAGAUAUUUUUCUUUGGAAAAAGAGAUCUACCAUGUUCUGCCUUCUCUCAUAGUGAAGUAAGUUUUUUUUUUCUAUUCUUUCAAGCAUUCCUUUUUUCCUUGAUGCCUUUUAUUCUGUACCCUUAGACCCAGAUAAUUGUAUUUAUUGUAAAGUAAUCUGAACACAUUUUAAAGGACAUUUACAAAUAUUCCCAUAACACUAUCAAUGCCCUUCAACAUGAAUGAAAUUCAAUGUUCCCUCUAUAGGGGUCUUGAACAUUACCCAACUUACCACUGGCACAUCUAUCACAGAAUGGAAGGAUGCUGUGGAGAUGCAUAGUUGACCAGUACCAUUUGUAGAGCAUCUUUUUCCCCAUAAAAUAGCAGUGUCAUUUUAACCUUGAAAGGUGAAAAGUGAUUUUUGUAUAAUGAUGAAAUUGAUCGUGUUAUCCUCUUCUGUUUUUUUUUUUAAUCACAGGUGUUAUUCCUUCUAGAUUAGAUCAGAGAAAGUUGAAAUAAUCCACUGCAUAGUAGAUUGUAUCUUUCUUCCUAUCACAGUAGAAAUUUUCCAUUUAUUUAAAAUUUUCAUGAGUAUCAUGAUUGCUUCUGUUUCUUUUCUCCAUCAUCAUAUGCCAAGAACUUGGUCAGGUGCAAGAGUCAAAAGAGUUAGCAACUGGUCUGGUACAGGCAUUAAUCAAUUAAAAUGGAUGUUCCUUGAAUAAACCAUAUUGUUGUGUACCCACAGCUCAGCACUUGGCAUAGAAUGGAGAACACAGUAAGUCAUUUGCAAAUGACUGCCAAAUAAAUAGAUAGAUGGACAAACUAACUAACUUGCCAGACAAAGCUACCUUCCAUCCAGUUUUAAAUUAUUCAAUAAUUCAAUAGUUUAAUUUUAUUCAAUCACUUUAGGAAUCCCUAUACUGUAAGCCCUUUCUAAAAAGUUAGUUAAGUAUUGAGUAAGGGAAAUGGAAAAAAAAAGAAAGUUCAAGAAAAAUAAUCUGUAUCUACACAAUUCUUACAAUCUAGUGUAAUAAGAAAUGAGAUACCUUCAUUAAUACUGAUAUAAAAACGUGAAAGGAAACAGUAAUUGUAAUUAACUUUUCAGGGCAACUGAGAUUCAAAGUAGAUCUAUUGGAUCCCAAAAACUAUGAGCAUCUACCAUGUAAAGUGAAGACUUUGAAACUGCAAAGAUCUAGAUUUGAAUCUCAGCUCCAGCAUGACCUUGGUGAGGUAGCUGUGGCAAAAUUAUUAAAUCAUUUUCUAAUCAUUUUCUUCUUAAAAUAGCUAUCAAAUCUCAUGUGAAUUAUAAACAAAAUGUUAUAAUAUGUAAUAAAGAUAUUUUACAUGGUAGACACUUUUCAUAGAUUAAUCUUUAUCAUACAUGAAACUUUGUAUUAAUAUAUAUUAAGUUGGAAUAUGGAAUAUGGCUAACCAUAAAAAGUCUAUUAUUAAAUGGAAAGCAGAUUACUAUCAUAAAAAAUUUAAAUUAGACACAGAAAAUACUAUUGGAGUCAGGGCAGACCCAGAAAUAAGAGUUAUCAUGUGACUUAUUAGUUCUGUGUAUGAGAGCAUGGUAUCUCAUAUAGUCAAACCUCUAACUUUUCUCAUCUAUACAGUGGAGUUACACGAAUACAAUAGAUCAUGGUGUGAAGUAAAAUGAAAAAAAAAAAAGCGAUUGCCACAUUGUACAUGUUUCAAACAUGGGGAACUUUAAAGUGCUCUGAAUGAAAAUGGUAAAAAUCCUCACUUCCCAUUUAACUAGAAUCAAAAUUGAUGAAAUUCUUGCCUUCCCUAAAACUACUACCAAUUUUUUCAAUUAAACUAUAUAAUAGGAUUAUUGAUGUCUUUAGGAAACUUGAAGGGAGUAAAAGAACUUAUCAGAUACCAUAUAUACAAAAUUCAGAUGUUUGAAAAUGAUAGGUAUCACAAGUUAUUCUAGGAAUAGCAAUCUACUACAUGUAUUGUCAAGGGCAAUUCAGUGCAGGGCAUUCUUGCAUCUGGAUUACUAAAAGGAUGCUAAAAUAAUAGUGUGAGCAAAAUAUUGGGAAUAAUUUUAAGUAUUAAAUCUUGACGCUUCUCAACGAAGUUAUCCUUGGCAAAUUAACCAACCUUGUACAUCUAUAAAUUAAAAGUGUAAAUUCUUUUUGUGCUAAUCAUUUUUGUGGUACAUGUGUACAGAGAGAGAGAGAGAGAGAGAGAGAGAGAGAGAGAGAGAGAGAGAGAGAGAGACAGAGAGAGAGAGAGAGAGACAGAGAGAGACAGAGACAGAGAGAGAGACAGAGACAGAGAGAGACAGAGACAGAGAGAGAGACAGAGACAGAGAGAGACAGAGAGCGAGAAAGAGAGAGAGAGAGAGAGAGAGAGAGAGAGAGAGAGAGAGAGAGAGAGAGAGAGAGAGAACAAGAGAGAACCCUCCCCACCUUCCUCUCAACCAAAGACAUCACUAUUGCCCAUUUCUGGCUUCUAUGGUUUGGGCUAUCCUAUUAUUCUAUAGCUUACAACUUUCUUGCUGUAUUUUUAGGGUAUUUAAAAGUACUGACAAUAUAACAUGAGAUGUUUAAUUCUACAAAAUCUAAUAAAUAUCAAGGUAACAAUAAAGUUAAUUUUUCAUAAAUGUACAUGAUUAGUUAUUAUAUAAUGUCACUCCAGAAUAAAAAAUAGACUGUUUAAAUGGUGUAAAUUCUAUGAUAGUAGAGGAUUUUUAAAAUAGAGAUAACUACUUGACCUCCUCACAGGGCUUUGCAGUUAUAGGAAUAUUUUAAAAAAAUAAAAAAUAAUAAUUAAAUGUUAUUAAUUGGAAUAUGUGUGUCAUCUAACAAAGUGACCAACAGGUUACUGUUACAUAAGCAGUAAGAAGAACUCAGAGUUAAAAACUAGAAUAUACCUAUAAACUUGAGGGCAAAACCUUAAGCAGUGAAAGUUUUGAAAACCAUUUUUCCCAGACUUCUUGUGGGUACAUGUGCAAAGUCUUACAUUCUAUCUGUCUGAAUCUCCUUCCAUUUGUCUCAUGCAACUGUGACACAGGAUAACUGACUGCCCUUCUAGUGUUCUUCAGUGAUUGGUAAUCAAAACUUCAACGAUCUCUAGACCACUGUUUUUGAAGUAUUUUAUUAUCCCUUUUGAUUUAUUUAUUUAUUGUCAUAUUUACAAAGUAUAAAAUCAUAAGGCUUUUGACAAACUUUUAAACUCAUAUCAUCAUGGGAACCAUCAGCAAAGAAGAUAAAGAUCAGGUCCUUUAUACCAGAAGUUUCCUCCUAUCUGUGAUUCCUCCCCUUGUCUGAUGCCUCCCUCAUUGAUAAUCACCAAGCUGAUUGCUGUUUUUAGGGUUUCUUGUUUACAGAAUGUUCUAUGAGUGGAAUUAUAGCCUAUGUAGUCUGGUUUCUCUCAGCAACUCAUUUGAGAGUCAUCUAUGUUGUUAUGUGUUUCAAUAAUUCAUUUGUUUAGGUUGGAUUGAAGUAUUCCAUUGGGGAGACGGAUCAUCAUUUAUCCAUUAAUUACUCGGUGGACUUUUGGUGUCCUUCCAGUUAUUGAUUUUACAGACAAAGCUUCUAUAGAUAUGUGUGCGCAGAUGUUACAUAAAUAUUUGGUUUCAGUCUUUUAGGAACAAAUGUGUAGAGAUGUGACUGUGGGUUUCUAGUACGUGUGUGUCUAACUUUAUAUGAAGCUGUCCUCUGUCUUCCAGAGUGAUUGAACCAUUCUGCCUCCCAACAACAAUGUGUGCAAAUAAUCUUCAUCAACAUUUGAUAUUGUCACCUUUUGUCCUUUUCCUUGAAUCAUUCUACGUGUCUGUAGCGUCAUCUCAUUGUGAUUUUGAUAUUUUUUUUUUACAUUUUAAUACAAAAGAAUUAAAAACGUGAGACCAUUUAUCUACAUCUCUGCCUAUAGUUUAGUGUGAAAUGGCUUCACUGUCGUGAAACGUGUUAAUGUCUUUAGUAAAUUCCUUCCUCCAGGAGUAA
Molecule: long non-coding RNA, 6002 nt
Organism: Peromyscus californicus insignis
Lineage: Eukaryota; Metazoa; Chordata; Mammalia; Rodentia; Cricetidae
Exons: 3
Source: RefSeq, a predicted model, not a curated record